RNAcentral lists this unclassified non-coding RNA (403 nucleotides) under Hevea brasiliensis (rubber tree). Lineage: Eukaryota; Viridiplantae; Streptophyta; Magnoliopsida; Malpighiales; Euphorbiaceae. The record is from RNAcentral.
GGAACUUAAAGGCAUCACAGACGUCUUGAAUUUUGAACUCGUAGAAAGCCUUUAGAAGUUGUUCUUCUUCAACCUUGAGUGGUUUAGGACGCUUUUCAGCAUUAUCUUUGGCGUCAUUUUGGCUUUCAGCAUAUGAGAACGACCCAUCAAUAUCAACUUCCAUUCGCGUUGUUCCAUACUUCUCCAGUGCUUGUUUCGCUCUGUGAUUAGCAACUUUAUACUUAUGUUUAAUAUCUUGGGGAGUAAAAAUCCACUUGGUUCUAUGAGUAGAUGUCACAAAAUCAGCCAUGUCUUCUCUCUGCCAAUUCUAAUUUUCGUUUGGAUGCGAUUCCUUUUAAACUAUGCCAUGCCCCGCAGAUUUUUCGCCGGUGAAACGAUCGCCGGAGAGACCAGCAGAGGGUUA